AUACGAAAGGUGCAAGCGUUGUUCGGAUUUACUGGGCGUAAAGAGAGUGUAGGUUGUUUAUUAAGUCGGAUGUGAAAUCCCGGGGCUCAACCCCGGAACUGCAUUCGAUACUGAUAGGCUAGAGUUCGAGAGGGGUAAGCGGAAUUCCGUGUGUAGCAGUGAAAUGCGUAGAUAUACGGAGGAACACCUGAGGCGAAGGCGGCUUACUGGACCGAUACUGACACUGAGACUCGAGAGCGUGGGUAGCAAACAGAAGUAGAAACCCCGGUAGUCC
RNAcentral lists this ribosomal RNA (274 nucleotides) under uncultured bacterium. RNAcentral describes it as "partial 16S ribosomal RNA". It matches the Rfam family "Bacterial small subunit ribosomal RNA", at positions 523 to 796 of the family's 1533-position model. The record is from RNAcentral.